Molecule: unclassified non-coding RNA, 257 nt
Filed under: uncultured fungus
Lineage: Eukaryota; Fungi
Description: partial contains 5.8S ribosomal RNA, internal transcribed spacer 2, and large subunit ribosomal RNA
Source: RNAcentral
AACGCACAUUGCGCCCAUUAGUAUUCUAGUGGGCAUGCCUGUUCGAGCGUCAUUUCAACCCUCAAGCCCUAGUUGCUUGGUGUUGGGGCCCUGGGAAGCUUAUACUCUCCAGGCCUCGAAAGACAGUGGCGGGCGCCCCGCGACCCCGAGCGUAGUAAUUUCGUCUCGUUUAGGGAGUCCGGUGGUGCUUGGCCGUUAAACCCCCAAUCUUUCUGAAUUUUGACCUCGGAUCAGGUAGGAAUACCCGCUGAACUUAA